GCGGGCGUAACUCAGUUGGUAGAGUGACAGCUUCCCAAGCUGUAGGUCGUGGGUUCAAAUCCCAUCGCCCGCUCCA
RNAcentral lists this transfer RNA (76 nucleotides) under Acidobacteriota bacterium. RNAcentral's name for it is "Acidobacteria bacterium tRNA-Gly". It matches the Rfam family "tRNA". Rfam says of the family: Transfer RNA (tRNA) molecules are approximately 80 nucleotides in length. Their secondary structure includes four short double-helical elements and three loops (D, anti-codon, and T loops). Further hydrogen bonds mediate the characteristic L-shaped molecular structure. tRNAs have two regions of fundamental functional importance: the anti-codon, which is responsible for specific mRNA codon recognition, and the 3' end, to which the tRNAs corresponding amino acid is attached (by aminoacyl-tRNA synthetases). tRNAs cope with the degeneracy of the genetic code in two manners: having more than one tRNA (with a specific anti-codon) for a particular amino acid; and 'wobble' base-pairing, i.e. permitting non-standard base-pairing at the 3rd anti-codon position. The record is from RNAcentral. RNAcentral also lists the same sequence under 2 other names. Lineage: Bacteria; Pseudomonadati; Acidobacteriota.